CCUACGGGAGGCAGCAGUGAGGAAUAUUGGUCAAUGGGCGCGAGCCUGAACCAGCAAAGCAGCGUGAAGGAUGACUGUCCUACGGGUUGUAAACUUCUUUUAUAAAGGAAUAAAGUGAGGCACGUGUGCCUUUUUGAAUGUACUUUAUGAAUAAGGAUCGGCUAACUCCGUGCCAGCAGCCGCGGUAAUACGGAGGAUCCGAGCGUUAUCCGGAUUUAUUGGGUUUAAAGGGAGCGUAGAUGGGUUGUUAAGUCAGUUGUGAAAGUUUUCGGCUCAACCGUAAAAUUGAAAUUGAUACUGGCAGUCUUGAGUACAGUUGAGGUAGGCGGAAUUCGUGGUGUAGCGGUGAAAUGCUUAGAUAUCACGAAGAACUCCGAUUGCGAAGGCAGCUUACUAGACUGCCACUGACAUUGAUGCUCGAAAGUGUGGGUAUCAAACAGGAUUAGAUACCCGAGUAGUC
RNAcentral lists this ribosomal RNA (460 nucleotides) under uncultured bacterium. RNAcentral's name for it is "partial 16S ribosomal RNA". It matches the Rfam family "Bacterial small subunit ribosomal RNA", at positions 338 to 795 of the family's 1533-position model. The record is from RNAcentral.